GAUGAAGAACGUAGUGAAAUGCGAUAAGUAAUGCGAAUUGCAGAAUCCGUGAGUCAUCGAAUCUUUGAACGCACAUUGCGCCCUCUGGUAUUCCGGAGGGCGUGCCUGUUCGAGCGUCAUUAUCACCCCUCAAGCCCGGCUUGUUGUUGGAUGCAGCGCUUAUCCCGCUCCUCCCAAAGAUAAUGACGGCGUCUGCGACGACUCCUGUACACUGAGCUUUCGGGCACGUACACGGCUAGAAGUCCAGACCCGGUCGCCGUCCCCCCCGCGGGGACACCCAUUACCACAAGGUUGACCUCGGAUCAGGUAGGAAUACCCGCUGAACUUAAGCAUAUCAAUAAGCGGAGGA
This 349-nucleotide unclassified non-coding RNA is filed under the name soil metagenome. Its description in RNAcentral is "partial contains 5.8S ribosomal RNA, internal transcribed spacer 2, and large subunit ribosomal RNA". The stretch from base 1 to 119 matches the Rfam family "5.8S ribosomal RNA", at positions 35 to 154 of the family's 154-position model. The record is from RNAcentral.